UACGAAGGGUGCAAACGUUGCUCGGAAUUACUGGGCGUAAAGCGUGCGUAGGUGGUGAGUUAAGUCUGUCGUGAAAGCCCCGGGCUCAACCUGGGAAUGGCGAUGGAUACUGGCUCGCUAGAGUGCGGUAGAGGAGAGUGGAAUUCCCGGUGUAGCAGUGAAAUGCGUAGAGAUCGGGAGGAACAUCAGUUGCGAAGGCGGCUCUCUGGACCAGCACUGACACUGAGGCACGAAAGCCAGGGGAGCAAACGGG
This 253-nucleotide ribosomal RNA is filed under the name uncultured bacterium. RNAcentral's name for it is "partial 16S ribosomal RNA". It matches the Rfam family "Bacterial small subunit ribosomal RNA", at positions 524 to 776 of the family's 1533-position model. The record is from RNAcentral.